Molecule: ribosomal RNA, 1233 nt
Filed under: uncultured bacterium
Lineage: Bacteria
Description: bacterial SSU rRNA
Rfam family: Bacterial small subunit ribosomal RNA
Source: RNAcentral
CAUGUGUCCGGGAUAACUGCUGGAAACGGUAGCUAAAACCGGAUAGGUAUACGGAGCGCAUGCUCUGUAUAUUAAAGCGCCCAUCAAGGCGUGAACAUGGAUGGACCUGCGGCGCAUUAGCUAGUUGGUGAGGUAACGGCCCACCAAGGCGAUGAUGCGUAGCCGGCCUGAGGGGGUAAACGGCCACAUUGGGACUGAGACACGGCCCAAACUCCUACGGGAGGCAGCAGUAGGGAAUUUUCGUCAAUGGGGGAAACCCUGAACGAGAAUGCCGCGUGAGUGAAGAAGGUCUUCGGAUCGUAAAGCUCUGUUGUAAGUGAAGAACGGCUCAUAGAGGAAAUGCUAUGGGAGUGACGGUAGCUUACCAGAAAGCCACGGCUAACUACGUGCCAGCAGCCGCGGUAAUACGUAGGUGGCAAGCGUUAUCCGGAAUCAUUGGGCGUAAAGGGUGCGUAGGUGGCGUACUAAGUCUGUAGUAAAAGGCAAUGGCUCAACCAUUGUAAGCUAUGGAAACUGGUAUGCUGGAGUGCAGAAAAGGGCGAUGGAAUUCCAUGUGUAGCGGUAAAAUGCGUAGAUAUAUGGAGGAACACCAGUGGCGAAGGCGGUCGCCUGGUCUGUAACUGACACUGAGGCACGAAAGCGUGGAAAAAAUAGGGAUUAGAUACCCCUCGUCGUCCACGCCUCAAAAGGGGAACUAAGUGUUGGAGGAAUUCAGUGCUGCAGUUAACGCAAUAAGUUCUCCGCCUGGGGAGUAUGCACGCAAGUGUGAAACUCAAAGGAAUUGACGGGGGCCCGCACAAGCGGUGGAGUAUGUGGUUUAAUUCGAAGCAACGCGAAGAACCUUACCAGGCCUUGACAUGGAAACAAAUACCCUAGAGAUAGGGGGAUAAUUAUGGAUCACACAGGUGGUGCAUGGUUGUCGUCAGCUCGUGUCGUGAGAUGUUGGGUUAAGUCCCGCAACGAGCGCAACCCUUGUCGCAUGUUACCAGCAUCAAGUUGGGGACUCAUGCGAGACUGCCGGUGACAAACCGGAGGAAGGUGGGGAUGACGUCAAAUCAUCAUGCCCCUUAUGGCCUGGGCUACACACGUACUACAAUGGCGACCACAAAGAGCAGCGACUUGGUGACAAGAAGCGAAUCUCAUAAAGGUCGUCUCAGUUCGGAUUGAAGUCUGCAACUCGACUUCAUGAAGUCGGAAUCGCUAGUAAUCGCAGAUCAGCAUGCUGCGGUGAAU